RNAcentral lists this ribosomal RNA (587 nucleotides) under uncultured bacterium. RNAcentral's name for it is "bacterial SSU rRNA". It matches the Rfam family "Bacterial small subunit ribosomal RNA", at positions 338 to 916 of the family's 1533-position model. The record is from RNAcentral.
CCUACGGGAGGCAGCAGUGGGGAAUUUUGGACAAUGGGCGCAAGCCUGAUCCAGCAAUGCCGCGUGAGUGAAGAAGGCCUUCGGGUUGUAAAGCUCUUUUGUCAGGGAAGAAACGGUGGUUCCUAAUACGGACUACUAAUGACGGUACCUGAAGAAUAAGCACCGGCUAACUACGUGCCAGCAGCCGCGGUAAUACGUAGGGUGCAAGCGUUAAUCGGAAUUACUGGGCGUAAAGCGUGCGCAGGCGGUUAUAUAAGUCAGAUGUGAAAUCCCCGGGCUCAACCUGGGAACUGCAUUUGAGACUGUAUGGCUAGAGUGUGUCAGAGGGGGGUAGAAUUCCACGUGUAGCAGUGAAAUGCGUAGAUAUGUGGAGGAAUACCGAUGGCGAAGGCAGCCCCCUGGGAUAACACUGACGCUCAUGCACGAAAGCGUGGGGAGCAAACAGGAUUAGAUACCCUGGUAGUCCACGCCCUAAACGAUGUCUACUAGUUGUCGGGACUUAAUUGUCUUGGUAACGCAGCUAACGCGUGAAGUAGACCGCCUGGGGAAGUACGGUGCAAGAUUAAAACGUUNAAAGGAAUUGACGG